GAUGAACGCUGGCGGCGUGCCUAAUACAUGCAAGUCGAGCGAACGGACGAGAAGCUUGCUUCUCUGAUGUUAGCGGCGGACGGGUGAGUAACACGUGGAUAACCUACCUAUAAGACUGGGAUAACUUCGGGAAACCGUAGCUAAUACCGGAUAAUAUUUUGAACCGCAUGGUUCAAAAGUGAAAGACGGUCUUGCUGUCACUUAUAGAUGGAUCCGCGCUGCAUUAGCUAGUUGGUAAGGUAACGGCUUACCAAGGCAACGAUGCAUAGCCGACCUGAGAGGGUGAUCCGCCACACUGGAACUGAGACACGGUCCAGACUCCUACGGGAGGCAGCAGUAGGGAAUCUUCCACAAUGGGCGAAAGCCUGACGGAGCAACGCCGCGUGAGUGAUGAAGGUCUUCGGAUCGUAAAACUCUGUUAUUAGGGAAGAACAUAUGUGUAAGUAACUGUGCACAUCUUGACGGUACCUAAUCAGAAAGCCACGGCUAACUACGUG
Molecule: ribosomal RNA, 497 nt
Filed under: uncultured bacterium
Lineage: Bacteria
Description: partial 16S ribosomal RNA
Rfam family: Bacterial small subunit ribosomal RNA
Source: RNAcentral